AUUGAACGCUGGCGGCAGGCCUAACACAUGCAAGUCGAGCGGAUGAAGGGAGCUUGCUCCUGGAUUCAGCGGCGGACGGGUGAGUAAUGCCUAGGAAUCUGCCUGGUAGUGGGGAUAACGUCCGGAAACGGGCGCUAAUACCGCAUACGUCCUGAGGGAGAAAGUGGGGGAUCUUCGGACCUCACGCUAUCUGAUGAGCCUAGGUCGGAUUAGCUAGUUGGUGGGGUAAAGGCCUACCAAGGCGACGAUCCGUAACUGGUCUGAGAGGAUGAUCAGUCACACUGGAACUGAGACACGGUCCAGACUCCUACGGGAGGCAGCAGUGGGGAAUAUUGGACAAUGGGCGAAAGCCUGAUCCAGCCAUGCCGCGUGUGUGGAGAAGGUCUUCGGAUUGUAAAGCACUUUAAGUUGGGAGGAAGGGCAGUAAGUUAAUACCUUGCUGUUUUGACGUUACCAACAGAAUAAGCACCGGCUAACUUCGUG
RNAcentral lists this ribosomal RNA (483 nucleotides) under uncultured bacterium. Its description in RNAcentral is "partial 16S ribosomal RNA". It matches the Rfam family "Bacterial small subunit ribosomal RNA", at positions 30 to 507 of the family's 1533-position model. The record is from RNAcentral.